This 407-nucleotide ribosomal RNA is filed under the name uncultured microorganism. RNAcentral's name for it is "bacterial SSU rRNA". It matches the Rfam family "Bacterial small subunit ribosomal RNA", at positions 509 to 917 of the family's 1533-position model. The record is from RNAcentral.
CAGCCGCCGCGGUAAUACGGAGGGCGCGAGCGUUGUCCGGAUUCACUGGGCGUAAAGCGGGUGUAGGCGGUCGGGUAAGUCGGACGUGAAAGCCCGGGGCUCAACCCCGGAAGGGCGUCCGAAACUGCUCGACUUGAGGGCGGGAGAGGGAGGUGGAAUACCCGGUGUAGCGGUGAAAUGCGUAGAUAUCGGGAGGAACACCAGUGGCGAAGGCGGCCUCCUGGCCCGCUCCUGACGCUGAGACCCGAAAGCGUGGGGAGCAAACCGGAUAAGAUCCCCGGUUAGUCCACGCCGUAAACGGUGGGCACUAGGUGUGGGGGGUUAAUCCCUCCGUGCCGAAGCUAACGCAUUAAGUGCCCCGCCUGGGGAGUACGGCCGCAAGGUUGAAACUUAAAGGAAUUGGCGGG